UAUCUCGGCUCUUGCAUCGAUGAAGAACGUAGCGAAAUGCGAUACUUGGUGUGAAUUGCAGAAUCCCGUGAACCAUCGAGUCUUUGAACGCAAGUUGCGCCUGAAGCCAUUAGGUUGAAGGCACGUCUGCCUGGGCGUCACGCAUUGCGUCACCCACUCCCCCGUGCCUAGCUGGGCAUG
RNAcentral lists this ribosomal RNA (180 nucleotides) under Leucothoe fontanesiana (highland doghobble). RNAcentral's name for it is "5.8S ribosomal RNA". The stretch from base 1 to 140 matches the Rfam family "5.8S ribosomal RNA", at positions 17 to 154 of the family's 154-position model. Rfam says of the family: 5.8S ribosomal RNA (5.8S rRNA) is a component of the large subunit of the eukaryotic ribosome. It is transcribed by RNA polymerase I as part of the 45S precursor that also contains 18S and 28S rRNA. Functionally, it is thought that 5.8S rRNA may be involved in ribosome translocation. Lineage: Eukaryota; Viridiplantae; Streptophyta; Magnoliopsida; Ericales; Ericaceae. The record is from RNAcentral.